UUGAACGCUGGCGGAAUGCUUUACACAUGCAAGUCGAGCGGCAGCGCGGGGGCAACCCUGGCGGCGAGCGGCGAACGGGUGAGUAAUGUAUCGGAACGUACCCUGUCGUGGGGGAUAACACAGCGAAAGCUGUGCUAAUACCGCAUACGACCUGAGGGUGAAAGCGGGGGAUCGCAAGACCUCGCGCGAUAGGAGCGGCCGAUAUCGGAUUAGCUUGUUGGUGAGGUAAAGGCUCACCAAGGCGACGAUCCGUAGCUGGUCUGAGAGGACGACGAGCCACACUGGAACUGAGACACGGUCCAGACUCCUACGGGAGGCAGCAGUGGGGAAUUUUGGACAAUGGGGGCAACCCUGAUCCAGCCAGUCCGCGUGAGUGAAGAAGGCCUGCGGGUUGUAAAGCUCUUUCAGCAGGAACGAAACGGUGGCUACUAAUACUAGCUACGAAUGACGGUACCUGAAGAAGAAGCACCGGCUAACUACGU
RNAcentral lists this ribosomal RNA (482 nucleotides) under uncultured bacterium. Its description in RNAcentral is "bacterial SSU rRNA". It matches the Rfam family "Bacterial small subunit ribosomal RNA", at positions 29 to 506 of the family's 1533-position model. The record is from RNAcentral.